AACGAACGCUGGCGGCAGGCCUAACACAUGCAAGUCGAGCGCGCCUUCGGGUGAGCGGCGGACGGGUUAGUAACGCGUGGGAACGUGCCCUUCUGUUGAGGAUAGCCCCGGGAAACUGGGAGUAAUACUCGAUACGCCCUUCGGGGAAGGAAGGAUCGGCCCGCGUUAGAUUAGAUAGUUGGUGGGGUAACGGCCUACCAAGUCGACGAUCUAUAGCUGGUUUGAGAGGAUGAUCAGCAACACUGGGACUGAGACACGGCCCAGACUCCUACGGGAGGCAGCAGUGGGGAAUCUUAGACAAUGGGCGCAACCCUGAUCUAGCCAUGCCGCGUGAGUGACGAAGGCCCUAGGGUCGUAAAGCUCUUUCGCCAGGGAUGAUAAUGACAGUACCUGGUAAGAACCCCGGCUAACUCCGUGCCAGCGCCGCGGUAA
This 432-nucleotide ribosomal RNA is filed under the name uncultured bacterium. RNAcentral describes it as "bacterial SSU rRNA". It matches the Rfam family "Bacterial small subunit ribosomal RNA", at positions 29 to 523 of the family's 1533-position model. The record is from RNAcentral.